This 393-nucleotide ribosomal RNA is filed under the name uncultured bacterium. RNAcentral describes it as "partial 16S ribosomal RNA". It matches the Rfam family "Bacterial small subunit ribosomal RNA", at positions 523 to 918 of the family's 1533-position model. The record is from RNAcentral.
AUACGUAGGGGGCGAGCGUUGUCCGGAAUGAUUGGGCGUAAAGGGCGCGUAGGCGGCCCGGUAAGUCUGGAGUGAAAGUCCUGCUUUUAAGGUGGGAAUUGCUUUGGAUACUGUCGGGCUUGAGUGCAGGAGAGGUAAUGAGAAUUCCCGGUGUAGCGGUGAAAUGCGCAGAGAUCGGGAGGAAUACCGGUGGCGAAGGCGAAUUACUGGACGAUAACUGACGCUGAGACACGAAAGCGUGGGGAGCAAACAGGAUUAGAUACCCUGGUAGUCCACGCCCUAAACGAUGAAUGCUAGGUGUAGGGGAGUCAUCUUCUGUGCCGCAGCUAACGCAAUAAGCAUUCCACCUGGGGAGUACGGCCGCAAAGUUGAAACUCAAAGGAAUUGACGGGG